CCCUAGUAACUGCGAGUGAAGCGGGAAAAGCUCAAAUUUAAAAUCUGGUGGUCUUUGGCCAUUCGAGUUGUAAUUUAGAGAAGCGUCUUCCGCGCUGGACCGUGCACAAGUCUCCUGGAAUGGAGCGUCGUAGAGGGUGAGAAUCCCGUCUUUGGCAUGGACACACCAGGGCUUUCGUGAUGCGCUCUCGAAGAGUCGAGUUGUUUGGGAAUGCAGCUCAAAAUGGGUGGUGAACUCCAUCUAAAGCUAAAUAUUGGCGAGAGACCGAUAGCGAACAAGUACCGUGAGGGAAAGAUGAAAAGCACUUUGGAAAGAGAGUGAAACAGUACGUGAAAUUGUUGAAAGGGAAACGCUUGAAGUCAGUCGCGUCGACCGAGACUCAGCCUCGCCUCGGCUUGGUGUACUUCUCGGCUGACGGGUCAGCAUCAAUUUUUGCCCCUUGGAUAAUGGCGGGGGAAAUGUGACACCUUUACGGUGUGUUAUAGUCUCUUGUCGCAUGCAAGGGUCGGGAUUGAGGAACUCAGCACGCGCCUUUGGGCGUCGGGGCUUUGCCCACGAUACGUGCUUAGGAUGUUGGCGUAAUGGCUUUAAACGACCCGUCUUGAAACACGGACCAAGGAGUCUAACAUGCCUGCGAGUGUUCGGGUGGAAAACCCGUGCGCGCAAUGAAAGUGAAAGUUGGGACCUCUGUCGUGGAGGGCACCGACGCCCGGACCAGACCUCCUGUGACGGCUCUGCGGUAGAGCAUGUAUGUUAGGACCCGAAAGAUGGUGAACUAUGCCUGAAUAGGGUGAAGCCAGAGGAAACUCUGGUGGAGGCUCGUAGCGAUUCUGACGUGCAAAUCGAUCGUCAAAUUUGGGUAUAGG
Molecule: ribosomal RNA, 866 nt
Filed under: Russula vidalii
Lineage: Eukaryota; Fungi; Basidiomycota; Agaricomycetes; Russulales; Russulaceae
Description: partial large subunit ribosomal RNA
Rfam family: Eukaryotic large subunit ribosomal RNA
Source: RNAcentral